This 567-nucleotide long non-coding RNA is filed under the name Vigna radiata. RNAcentral's name for it is "long non-coding RNA (VRAD_LNC012985)". The record is from RNAcentral. Lineage: Eukaryota; Viridiplantae; Streptophyta; Magnoliopsida; Fabales; Fabaceae.
AUGUGAUAAAAAGGAUCAAGUUUGGGGUUAUAUGGGGAAAGUAAAAGGCAAAAGCAAAAGCAUUGAGUUCAAAAGAUGAAAAAGAAAAAUGCAUGAGAAAGGAAAGAAAAGAAGAAAAGAGAAAAACAUGUAAAGUGAACUCAAUGAAAAAUGUAAAUUGAAAAAGGGAAAAGUUGGGGAUGAGUGAGAUUGGUUAAAAAAAAAAAGAGUGUGCUUGAACUUUGAAUAAUGAUUUAAACUCUCUUAACUCAAUGAUUUUGUAUUCCAGAAAAACCAAUUUUCUUGUUAACCCAGCCACAAUACAAGCCUUAGAAAAAGUCCUUGUGAUGACAUAUGCAUGUGAAAGAUGUUGAUUGUUUUAGAUGAAUGACAAUAUUGUUUUAUGUGACAUGUGAACAGUAGAGAGUAGAGUGACCUCCUAAACACUUGAGUGAUUGAGUGAAACACUUGCUUGGUGAGAAUUGUUAAAUCCAUGUUUACAUCUAUGCUUAGUUGAUUGAUCAUUCAUGAAUAGAACAUCUGUUGGAAAAAGAUAGAUUGUGUGAACUAAAGUGGAUUGAAAGCAUG